AAUAGAUACCCAGGUAGUCCACGCCGUAAACGAUGUCGACUUGGAGGUUGUGCCCUUGAGGCGUGGCUUCCGGAGCUAACGCGUUAAGUCGACCGCCUGGGGAGUACGGCCGCAAGGUUAAAACUCAAAUGAAUUGACGGGGGCCCGCACAAGCGGUGGAGCAUGUGGUUUAAUUCGAUGCAACGCGAAGAACCUUACCUACUCUUGACAUCCAGAGAACUUAGCAGAGAUGCUUUGGUGCCUUCGGGAACUCUGAGACAGGUGCUGCAUGGCUGUCGUCAGCUCGUGUUGUGAAAUGUUGGGUUAAGUCCCGCAACGAGCGCAACCCUUAUCCUUUGUUGCCAGCGAUUCGGUCGGGAACUCAAAGGAGACUGCCAGUGAUAAACUGGAGGAAGGUGGGGAUGACGUCAAGUCAUCAUGGCCCUUACGAGUAGGGCUACACACGUGCUACAAUGGCAUAUACAAAGAGAAGCGACCUCGCGAGAGCAAGCGGACCUCAUAAAGUAUGUCGUAGUCCGGAUUGG
This 524-nucleotide ribosomal RNA is filed under the name uncultured bacterium. Its description in RNAcentral is "bacterial SSU rRNA". It matches the Rfam family "Bacterial small subunit ribosomal RNA", at positions 777 to 1301 of the family's 1533-position model. The record is from RNAcentral.